GAUCAUGGCUCAGGACGAACGCUGGCGGCGUGCUUAACACAUGCAAGUCGAACGAAAAGACGGAAAGAGCUUGCUCUUUCCGGAAUUGAGUGGCAAACGGGUGAGUAACACGUAAACAACCUGCCUUCAGGAUGGGGACAACAGACGGAAACGACUGCUAAUACCGAAUAAGUUCCAAGAGCCGCAUGGCCCAUGGAAGAAAAGGUGGCCUCUACCUGUAAGCUAUCGCUUGAAGAGGGGUUUGCGU
This 247-nucleotide ribosomal RNA is filed under the name uncultured bacterium. RNAcentral's name for it is "partial 16S ribosomal RNA". It matches the Rfam family "Bacterial small subunit ribosomal RNA", at positions 15 to 236 of the family's 1533-position model. The record is from RNAcentral.